Non-coding RNA from Macrostomum lignano, 106 nucleotides. Lineage: Eukaryota; Metazoa; Platyhelminthes; Macrostomidae. The record is from Rfam.
UACUACCGGCCAUACCACGUUGAAAAAACCGGUUCUCGUCUGAUAACCGAAGUUUAGCAACGUUGGGUUUGGUUAGGACUCGCCGAUUUCUAAAAUCAUAUAUUAC